UGAUUAGUUGACAAAGUUAGGAUUGAUUUAGAAAAGUUUUGGAAUUAGGUCAAAACCCUAAAAAUUGAUGAUCAAACGGUAAAACUUGUUUAGAUUGAUGAAAGAACCGUCCUUUAACCUUAGAAUAUGUUUAGGAUGAAUUCUGGGAUCAAAACCAAGCUUUGAACCAUGUUGUAUGAUGGAUUUUUGAGAAAAACCC
Molecule: long non-coding RNA, 199 nt
Filed under: Medicago truncatula (barrel medic)
Lineage: Eukaryota; Viridiplantae; Streptophyta; Magnoliopsida; Fabales; Fabaceae
Description: long non-coding RNA (MTRU_LNC007491)
Source: RNAcentral